This is a long non-coding RNA of Bombus impatiens (common eastern bumble bee), 1681 nucleotides long. RefSeq lists it as uncharacterized. The record is from RefSeq and is a predicted model, not a curated record. The transcript is spliced from 3 exons. Lineage: Eukaryota; Metazoa; Arthropoda; Insecta; Hymenoptera; Apidae.
AUGGAUUCCGUUAUACUAAAUAGUCGAACUGUUUUAUCGACUUGACUUACAUUAUCAUUACAAUUACUCAGAAUUUCUAAGCAAAAUAUUCCAAUGUUAUAAAUAUUAAGGGCAUCAUGUUGCUAAAUACUCUAUGUGUUUUAGAUAGAAUCAUAAUGAAUGGAACAACAGAACGUAUGAAAUGGAGACCAAAAUAAAUUGUACAGCAGUUAAUUCAAUGUCCUUAUCAUGAUUAAGAUCACAUCAAAGUGCAAGCCCGCACUUGGAUCAGAUUUAGCAAUUGCACUCAUGAAAAUGUGAUCAACUGUAUACAUAAUUGAUACGCGUGAUUGGUGCCAGGUGAAGGAAAAAUACAUACCGUAUAAAAAUGCUAAUGUCCUAAGAUGUUUCUUUUUUAAUGCAACAGAAUAUUCUAAAGUGACUGACACUAGUUGACGAGGAAAAGUUCAAAGAUUCGCAAAUAAUUCAACGCAUUCCAGACACUUAAAGGCGGGAAUUCAGGUUCAUGAACGUGCGACUCUUAUCGAGGCCUGAAAGUGCGAUGUCGCCCUAUUUUACACGCCAUUGUUCGACGUCUUUCAUACAAAAUGAGCUUUAAAAGAGGCAAGAUCACCGGAAGGAUCCUGUCUUCGAGCCUUUGUACGCAUACAAUAUACAAUAGAAUGAAAAGCAUAUCUUCGCCAACAAGUCAUCUAUUCGUGCGACUCUAUUUGGACUUUAAAAUCUUAGACAACAUUUAUAUCUUCUUUUUUAAAAAAGAGAAUAUUUCACAAUAAUACAAAGCUUAUGUUACUCAUAAAUAUCUCUUUUUCUGUCUUCAGUCUUUCAGGAAGAUACAUGUUUAUUUUAUGUCUGUCUGAACAAGAGAAUGACAUCAAUCUUUUUUGUUACGAAGUAAUUAAAUUCCAGUAUAUUUCGGAAUGGAGACCUUCGGUUUUAUACGUUUAUUGUAUCACUGUUAUCAGACAAGACAAAUGUCUUCUUUCUUGUUUACGAUAUCCGCGCAGCUGCUGGCUUAAUGUGCACGCGCGAAUACUCGUGCUACUACGUCUUAGUAACGUAACAUAAAUCGUUACAUAAAUAUAUACCAGGAUCCGAUAUAUUCGUUGUUACAGAAUUAACGAACAUCGUCAGAGGAAAGUGAAACGAGAGAGAAACUGCCAGUAUAAAUACCUAGGAUUCUGGAGAACAGUAAAUGUCCACUGAUUUCCUUCCCAUACCACAGCUAUCGAUCCUUGCAGGAUUUAUUAUUCGGCACGUGUGAGUCCUUGAUCAGUCAAAUUUAGAUAAAAUGUACAAUUGGUAUUCACUGAAUGUCCGGUUAUAUAAUUUAACACUGAUUAUUGUUUCUCACCAUUGAUUCAAUUUUACAUAGGAAAAAACUAUUAAGCAAUGAUAAAUAUAAAUAAAAUAUAAUUAAAAAGUAGAAAGAAUGAAAAUAUUCAAAUACACUUUCAUUUUAAAUUAAUCAGAUAUUUGAAAUUAUUAAUCAGAAAAGCAAGUUUACCGAGGAUGAAAAGGUUUUUUACUUAAAAAUUGUACGAAGCACUUGAAUGAAGAACACUUGUUGAAUCUAGUCCGAUGGUAAUUUAUUAAAGUUCUAUUUUUACACAAAAACAUCGUUUUUCUAUGGAACUACCAACGCGUGAGUAGCAGUAUGGAUAACUUAACAAUUUAGAUU